This 139-nucleotide transfer RNA is filed under the name Exophiala dermatitidis NIH/UT8656. It matches the Rfam family "tRNA". Rfam says of the family: Transfer RNA (tRNA) molecules are approximately 80 nucleotides in length. Their secondary structure includes four short double-helical elements and three loops (D, anti-codon, and T loops). Lineage: Eukaryota; Fungi; Ascomycota; Eurotiomycetes; Chaetothyriales; Herpotrichiellaceae. The record is from Rfam by way of RNAcentral.
GCCGGGGUAGCUCAAUCGGUAGAGCGGUAAGUUUCACUGCCAUCCAACAUCAACCGUUUCAUUCAACUAAUAUCUUCUCAGUGUGGCUCUUAAUUCAUAAGACACCUCAAGGUUGCGGGUUCGACCCCCGUCUUCGGCU